CCGCCUCAGAUUUGGGACUUUGCAGGUAGGAUUUGAACAAUUUUAUACUUCAACGAAAGAAGUAAAAAGAGGAAGAAAAUUAGGAUAGCUGUGCCACUGGGGGCUAAGUUUCACCGCUAAAUGUGAUAGAACUGCUACGCUUUUAGUUCGACGGCCACACAUGCCCAUCCCAUAUGCAAGAACUCCACUGUGGAAGUGAAGCCAGUGUACUGUUCUAUUUUCUACAUCUUAGGGUACCUUUCCUUGGUAAGCCUGUAUGAAGUUGGCACUGGGGAGUCUGUGUGC
RNAcentral lists this long non-coding RNA (285 nucleotides) under Cyanistes caeruleus (blue tit). RNAcentral's name for it is "lncRNA (ENSCCEG00000001369.1)". Lineage: Eukaryota; Metazoa; Chordata; Aves; Passeriformes; Paridae. The record is from RNAcentral.